GUGACUGUGUCUGUGUUGUGGGUCACUGUCAUUCUCUUGGGAGAACAAAACACAAACUCAUUCUUGUGAAUUUUCAUUUGGACUCUUGCUUGCUACCAGUGUCUUACUUUGAUGCUCUCUCUCUCUCUCUCUCUCUCUCCUGAUCUCUGCACCCUAAUGAAAUGUACAAUUCUUCCUUUCCUUUUCGAGAACCCCACUACACAUGUUCUGAAUGUGAAAUCCCUUUUUCUUUGAUCAAAUGCCAAAAUGUCUCUACCUUUUGCUUCUUGGUGGGGUUGCUCUACCUCUAGGGUUCUUGUUUUCUCACCCUUUUGAGUUUGUUUGUGUGGCCUUCUUCAAAUAUUCGCUUUCUUUGUUCACUUGUGCACAAUUUUGAUAAAAGACCCUUUUGUUUUUCUCAAGCUCUGGUCACAAUUCCCAGCUCAAAAUCCUGAAUUUCCUCCUCAUCUCUUCUGCUGAUUUUUGCCUCUAGGGUUUGUUUAUGUUUCUCAAAGCCUGUUUCCCAAAAGGGUUGAAGAAUAAAGCUUGGAGCCACAAUGCGGAGUUUCAGAAGCUCCUAAGCUAUAGUUCCCACCCAGAAUUGCACUAUUGAGUUUUAGUUUGUGCUUUGCUUCCAGGCCUUGAUUUCAGUAGCAUAGCUUCUUUUUCAAACAUGGGUUGUAUCCAUGGCAAGUGCUGUAGCCGCUACCCUUCAACUUCAGUGGGUGGCUCCCGGGACUACAGAGAACUUGGACCUUACUGUUCCCAAAGAAAGCAUAUACUCACUCAGAGAUCACUGCAGUUUGUUCCUGUCCCUUCCCACAACUUCACUUUGGAAUACUCUUUUCUCACUCAGCGGGGAUACUACCCUGACUCAAUUGAUAAAGAAAACCAAGAUAGUUUCUGCAUUAGGACACAAGUUCAAGGUAACUCAAAUGUCCAUUUCUUUGGUGUCUUUGAUGGGCAUGGUGAAUUUGGUGGCCAGUGUUCAAACUUUGUUAAGGAUAGGUUGGUAGAAAAUUUGUCAAAUGACCCUGCACUUUUGGAGGACCCUGUUAAAUCCUACACUUCAGCAUUCUUGACAACAAAUGAUGAAUUGCAUGAGAAUGAGAUUGAUGAUUCUAUGAGUGGCACUACCGCAAUUACAGUGCUAGUUAUUGGAAACACCCUUUAUGUUGCUAAUGUUGGUGAUUCGAGAGCUGUGCUGGCUGUUAAGGAUGGGGAUCGGAUUGUUGCUGAGGACUUGUCAUCUGAUCAGACACCCUUUCGGAGAGAUGAAUAUCAAAGAGUAAAACUUUGUGGGGCAAGGGUGUUGAGUGUUGAUCAGGUGGAAGGGAAUAAGGAUCCGGAUAUCCAGAGUUGGGGUAAUGAAGAGAGUCAGGGUGAUGAUCCUCCGAGAUUGUGGGUUCAGAAUGGGAUGGUUCCGGGAACUGCUUUUACAAGGAGUGUAGGGGAUGAUUUGGCAGAGACUAUCGGUGUCAUUGCUGUUCCAGAGGUGUCAACGGUUCAGCUUACACCUAAUCAUCUUUUCUUUGUUGUUGCAAGUGAUGGCAUAUUUGAGUUCCUAAGUAGCCAAAAUGUUGUUGAUAUGGCAGCAAGUUAUCCAGAUCCCCGUGAUGCAUGUGCUGCCAUUGCUGGAGAGUCUUAUAAACUAUGGUUGGAACAUGAGGGCCGUACAGAUGAUAUAACGAUUAUCAUUGUUCAGAUCAAAGGCCUGCCUAAUUCAGGUACAUCUGGAGUAGGAUCAGGUGAGUUCAAUAUGAGUACUGUAACAAGGGCUAAGAGGGGAAAGGGAACUUCAGAGAUAUCUGCUACCACUGGUUUAGAUGUUUAUCGUUCUGGGAGGAGUGGUUUCUCUGAUAUACAGUCCUGCCAGCAUAUGGUCUCAAUGAGAAGCCAAGCCAUAGUGGUCCCCUCUCCAGCAUGUCAAAGGCCAAUUUAAUUGUAAUUGGAGAGAGGCUUUAUGGAAGCUUCACCAAAUCUCCUCUUACUUUCUCCUAGAAGCACUUCAGGAGCACACUGGAACGUACCUUUUUGGAUAGCACUGCACCUCCACUCUUCAGAUUCAAACAUUUGAUUGAGAUAAAGGAGAGUAGUGACUAACUUACUAACAUUUGCAUUGAAUCAUGGUCAAUGGUCAACUAAGAAGGCAGGCCAAAUGCUACUUAGAAACAUAUCUAGAUUUUUUAUUGCGUUUCAA
RNA transcript from Gastrolobium bilobum, 2179 nucleotides. It is a transcript of the gene named probable protein phosphatase 2C 35, with no coding region annotated. The record is from RefSeq and is a predicted model, not a curated record. The transcript has 5 exons. NCBI's taxonomy places the organism in Eukaryota, Viridiplantae, Streptophyta, Magnoliopsida, Fabales, Fabaceae.